RNAcentral lists this ribosomal RNA (254 nucleotides) under uncultured bacterium. RNAcentral describes it as "partial 16S ribosomal RNA". It matches the Rfam family "Bacterial small subunit ribosomal RNA", at positions 524 to 776 of the family's 1533-position model. The record is from RNAcentral.
UACGAGGGGGGCAAGCGUUGUUCGGAAUUAUUGGGCGUAAAGGGUGCGUAGGCGGCUUGGCAAGUCGGGUGUGAAACCUCCAGGCUUAACCUGGAGACGCCACUCGAUACUGCCAUGGCUAGAGUCCGGUAGGGGACCACGGAAUUCCUGGUGUAGCGGUGAAAUGCGCAGAUAUCAGGAGGAACACCGGUGGCGAAGGCGGUGGUCUGGGCCGGCACUGACGCUGAGGAGCGAAAGCGUGGGUAGCAAACAGG